UCCGCGGCGCUCAGCCCCAGCCUCGCCGCCGCCGCCUUGGAUAGCCGGGGCACGUACGCCUAGAUUAGGGUGGGGGAUGUUCGGGAUGCGAGCGAGCGGCGCGGGGAUGGGCACCUGUACGACGACCCGGAUGCCGUCGCCAUCCUGGCGCUCCUCGACUCCCCGCUUCGACGGCGAUAAGUCGACGCGCUCAAGCAUCGCGCAUGGCGUCUACGCUGACCACGUCUCCCGGCAGGUGGUCAGGAACGUCUCGCGUAGUCGCUUGAGGUGAAGAAGCUCGUCUAACUCUACCUGCUCCACUACGCCAAGAAAAAUGUUAUUUUCAGGAAGAUUCAAGGGAUUCGAGUAGUGACCAGAAGCAUUGAAGAUUUUGCUAAGCAAG
Long non-coding RNA from Triticum dicoccoides, 382 nucleotides. RefSeq lists it as uncharacterized. The transcript has 3 exons. NCBI's taxonomy places the organism in Eukaryota, Viridiplantae, Streptophyta, Magnoliopsida, Poales, Poaceae. The record is from RefSeq and is a predicted model, not a curated record.